This 448-nucleotide ribosomal RNA is filed under the name uncultured bacterium. Its description in RNAcentral is "SSU rRNA". It matches the Rfam family "Bacterial small subunit ribosomal RNA", at positions 26 to 518 of the family's 1533-position model. The record is from RNAcentral.
AGAACGAACGCUGGCGGCAGGCUUAACACAUGCAAGUCGAACGGUUGUAGCAAUACAGCAGUGGCGCACGGGUGAGUAACGCGUGGGAACAUCCCUUUCAGUCGGGAAUAACAGCGGGAAACUGCUGCUAAUACCUGAUACUCCCUCCGGGGGGAAAGAUUUAUCGCUGAAAGAUUGGCCCGCGUCAGAUUAGCUAGUUGGUGGGGUAACGCCUACCAAGGCUCCGAUCUGUAGCUGGUCUGAGAGGACGACCAGCCACACUGGAACUGAGACACGGUCCAGACUCCUACGGGAGGCAGCAGUGGGGAAUAUUGGACAAUGGGCGAAAGCCUGAUCCAGCCAUGCCGCGUGAGUGAUGAAGGCCUUAGGGUUGUAAAGCUUCUUUUGUCAGGGAAGAUAAUGACGGUACCUGAAGAAUAGCACCGGCUAACUUCGCGCCAGCAGCCGC